This is a non-coding RNA of Coturnix japonica (Japanese quail), 1019 nucleotides long. The record is from RefSeq and is a predicted model, not a curated record. NCBI's taxonomy places the organism in Eukaryota, Metazoa, Chordata, Aves, Galliformes, Phasianidae.
GAUUACUGAAAAACAGAGAUCGUGCACACUCAAACUAUGUUUAAAAUGAAAGAGUGACAACAGUUACUAAGCUGCAACUUCUGUAUGUGAUGAGUCCAUUUUGCUUGCCCAUGGUGGUCUCCUUAUUUCAAGGAACGUGUUCUUUUACUAUAAAUGUAACACUCAAACACCUGCCUUUUAAGUAAUUCUUUAAAUAGAGGAAGCAUUGCUUUAGAAUAAGACCAGUCAUUAGAAUGUUACAGGUGUUGGAAGGGGAGAAUUUGGGUGAGCCCCAAUGGGUGCAGUGCUGCAUGGCAGAACCCUUUGGGUGUGGGGUCUGUGCUGGGGCUGAGCAGAGCUGUGUGGAGCGCUGGAGGUCUCUUGGAACUGCAAAAUGCUGCGAGAUCUGGAAUCCUUUUGUUGCGAGGGUGGUGUUUUUCUAUGGAGUUCAGGAACAGGCUCAGUACAGCCCGCAUGGCAGUGUCAGACGGACCGCUGGGAGCACCCAUGGUUCUGGGUGUUCCUCUGUUGCUGUGGGUCUCUGGGGGAGCAGCGGAUGAGGACGGUCGUGCACUGCAGCUGUGUCUCAGAACAGAACGAUCAAACGAGGUGUGAAGGCUGUGGGAGCAGAAAUCUGAAUUCAGGUUCCAUAGGAUUUGGAGGGCAGCAAUCAAGGAAGGCAUUAACUCAGAUUGACCUCCAGCUCAGAGCUGUGUUUUCUGGACAGGAAACUCAUUCAGCUUUAGCAGAAGGACCUUGUUCUGCUCAGCCCUGUGCAUGUUUCAGGUGCUCAUCACAACUUAUUCCAGAAGUAGCUGCAAUUACGAUACGCUGUGUACGCAACUGGUACAGCUCAGUCUUAUUCCAUAUAAUUUUGAUCUGAAGAUGUUCACAUCAGGAUCCUAAUUUUCUGUGUCUUGGAUGUGCACAAUGAAUGGCACUUGGAAACUGCGCUGCUCUUCAUUUUCUUAAGAACUACAGAAAAUCCAAUCAAACAUGAACCCGAGUGUAAGAGGAAAAUAAAAACAGUCGUUACAGCA